This 250-nucleotide ribosomal RNA is filed under the name uncultured Eubacteriales bacterium. RNAcentral's name for it is "uncultured Clostridiales bacterium partial 16S ribosomal RNA". It matches the Rfam family "Bacterial small subunit ribosomal RNA", at positions 90 to 339 of the family's 1533-position model. Lineage: Bacteria; Bacillati; Bacillota; Clostridia; Eubacteriales. The record is from RNAcentral.
GUUUAGUGGCGGACGGGUGAGUAACGCGUGAGUAACCUGCCUUGGAGUGGGGAAUAACACAGUGAAAAUUGUGCUAAUACCGCAUAAUGCAUUUAGGUCGCAUGACUUUGAAUGCCAAAGAUUUAUCGCUCUGAGAUGGACUCGCGUCUGAUUAGCUAGUUGGCGGGGCAACGGCCCACCAAGGCGACGAUCAGUAGCCGGACUGAGAGGUUGGCCGGCCACAUUGGGACUGAGACACGGCCCAGACUCC